GAUGAACGCUAGCGGCAGGCCUAACACAUGCAAGUCGUGGGGCAGCAUGGGGUAGCAAUACUCUGAUGGCGACCGGCAAACGGGUGCGGAACACGUACGCAACCUUCCCAAAACUGGUGAAUAGCCCUCCGAAAGGAGGAUUAAUACACCGUAACAUAACGAAGUGGCAUCACUUUGUUAUUAUAGCUCCGGCGGUUUUGGAUGGGCGUGCGCCUGAUUAGGUAGUUGGCGGGGUAACGGCCCACCAAGCCUACGAUCAGUAACUGGUGUGAGAGCACGACCAGUCACACGGGCACUGAGACACGGGCCCGACUCCUACGGGAGGCAGCAGUAAGGAAUAUUGGUCAAUGGACGCAAGUCUGAACCAGCCAUGCCGCGUGAAGGAUGAAGGUCCUCUGGAUUGUAAACUUCUUUUAUCUGGGACGAAAAAGGGCUUUCUAGCUCACUUGACGGUACCAGAGGAAUAAGCACCGGCUAACUCCGUGCCAGCAGCCGCGGUAAU
This 502-nucleotide ribosomal RNA is filed under the name uncultured bacterium. Its description in RNAcentral is "bacterial SSU rRNA". It matches the Rfam family "Bacterial small subunit ribosomal RNA", at positions 28 to 524 of the family's 1533-position model. The record is from RNAcentral.